Mauremys mutica (yellowpond turtle) is the source of this 1922-nucleotide long non-coding RNA. RefSeq lists it as uncharacterized. The record is from RefSeq and is a predicted model, not a curated record. The transcript has 5 exons. NCBI's taxonomy places the organism in Eukaryota, Metazoa, Chordata, Testudines, Geoemydidae.
CCAGCCCAGAGGAAAUGAUCAGAGCUGCUGAUGCUCUGCCAAGGACUUUGUGAGAGAUCAGCAAAGGAAUUCUGCAAAGCAAAAACAUUGCUUAAACGGCACAAAAUCCAGUCAGAGACAUUCAGGACUAAGAAGAUGAGCCAUCUUGGGAAAGGAGUAUCACCAUCUAACAAGUAGAGAUUGUAGAAGAAAAAUAUGGCAGGUGUGAGCAGAAAUCAUUUUGCAGAUUAUAUAUGAUGGAAUGCCAGUGCUGACUGCCUCGUGAGGGAAUGAAGUCUUUGCUUUCACUAGAGGCAGGGGACUUUGAGAACAACACAGGGGAAGAGAAGGAUCUGCUCUGGACACUGGAGGAUUCUGACUCAGGCCAUGCAGCAAUAAGAAGGAACUGGAGAAGCAGUCAGUCCACCCUGCCACUUACACUGUCGGUGCAGCACAGAAAGAAUGCAGGGGCAGAGAUGCAGACAAAUGGACCCCACUUGCAAGAAUUCUCCAGUCUCAGGUGCAUGGAGUGCAUGGUUACCCACAGGGGAAUACACACAGAGACCCGCACCCAAAGAAGAAACAAAAUAUUUCUAUAGAUCUGUACUGUGAAUUGAAGCUCUCAUUGUUAUUGACAUACAAGAUUCUGAGGCAUAUCAGCAACAGGAAAUAGAGCGGCUCUGUAAUGCAGAUCAGACACAGAAGACAAUUUUGAGAACCAGGAAUGGGAGCAAAAGCUCAAAUGAGUUCUCAGAAAAUAAGGGGAUGAAGAGGUUGGAGGUGGCUGCAUUUCAGCUGCUAUCCUGGAACAUAAACCUAGAAAGGUACUUUUUGGUUACUAAAUUUUCAACCCAUCCUCAAUUCACAUGGAUUUAGAAGUUCAGCAAAAAAAUUUUUUCCCCAUUUUGACAUCUUAAUUUAGAUGCAGAUAGAUAAGACAUAGAGAUGCUGAUAAGAUCAAAAAGGGAAAUCACUUGUCAAUUGUUCCUGACAUGAGCAGUCAAAUCCAUGUUUGUGGUACAGUUAGAUAUGAAUUUUUUUUAAGCAAAGUGGGAAAGAGUUGGUGUCUGCUCUCCUUUUAUACUGGGGCUUUCAGCAUGCCCAUCUUUAGAGGUACCAGUAUCUAUUCUAACUAUUGACAAAAACAAACAUAAAAUUAACUAGAUUUAAAAAAUAGCUAUUUUUACAUUUUAUAUCAGAUCUGGAACCAAAAACCAUAAGGGCCAGUUUAGAUCUGAGGAUCUGAAUCUAAUGAACACACCAAUCCUGAAACUGGGGAGGGAAUGGAUUAGUGGUCCUAGUUUGAGUCUACCUAUAGUUAGAACAUUUGGUCCAUUUUCUUAGUUCCCUGAGGUUUGUGUAUUUCAUGUAUUUUACUGUAUGCUGCAUUGAUGACUCUUAAAGCCACUGCUAUUUUGGAUUCUGAAGAUGUUUAAAAUAGUUUCACUGUUCCUUAAGAGUAAGGUAGUCAGAUAUAGCCUGGUCUGCCAUCAUCACAGUAUAUAGGCCUGAGCCGAGCACUUACAAAUUAAUUGCUGAAAACCAGGUCCUUUCACUUAUAUGUUAGUAGGGUUAAGAUGGGUAUUGGAUUUAUAACAAUGUGUUUAGACUUUAUGAAAUGGUUGUAAAUUGCUGCAUGCAUUAAUCUCAAAUUAUAUUUUUAUCACCUGCUGUAAGGUAAUAUUUAAGUUUUUGCUUUCUAACUGUAAAAAAAUGUGAACCCAGUGAACUCAAACUGUGAACCCAGUCAGGAGGGAUUCUCCUGCUCAUCAAGAAGGCCUAUCAAAAUUAAAUGGGCGAUUGUGGGACAUUGCAAUACAAAGACUUUGUUAAUUGCCCCUUAUACUCAUGCAGAGGCUAUAUGCAAAAGGAUUCAUCCCAUCACCUUGAAUUGUGGAAGAAGGAAAUAAAAAUAGCUGGCAAUCUUUUGUUGUUUGGACUCU